UGGCAGUGCAGUGCUAGUUGGCUGUUGUGGGCUUGAUGUGUAACAGUUGCUGGCUGCACUCCUUA
This 65-nucleotide microRNA precursor is filed under the name Microcaecilia unicolor. RNAcentral's name for it is "Mun-Mir-34-P3a_pre stem-loop". Lineage: Eukaryota; Metazoa; Chordata; Amphibia; Gymnophiona; Siphonopidae. The record is from RNAcentral.